RNAcentral lists this ribosomal RNA (253 nucleotides) under uncultured bacterium. RNAcentral describes it as "partial 16S ribosomal RNA". It matches the Rfam family "Bacterial small subunit ribosomal RNA", at positions 524 to 776 of the family's 1533-position model. The record is from RNAcentral.
UACGGAGGGGACUAGCGUUGUUCGGAAUUACUGGGCGUAAAGCGCACGUAGGCGGAUUUGUAAGUCAGGGGUGAAAUCCCGAGGCUCAACCUCGGAACUGCCUUUGAUACUGCAAAUCUCGAGUCCGGAAGAGGUGAGUGGAAUUCCUAGUGUAGCGGUGGAAUGCGCAGAUAUCAGGAGGAACACCGAUGGCGAAGGCAGUUCUCUGGGCCGUAACUGACGCUGAGGAGCGAAAGCGUGGGGAGCGAACAGG